This 427-nucleotide ribosomal RNA is filed under the name uncultured Desulfovibrio sp. Its description in RNAcentral is "partial 16S ribosomal RNA". It matches the Rfam family "Bacterial small subunit ribosomal RNA", at positions 355 to 774 of the family's 1533-position model. Lineage: Bacteria; Pseudomonadati; Thermodesulfobacteriota; Desulfovibrionia; Desulfovibrionales; Desulfovibrionaceae. The record is from RNAcentral.
UGGGGAAUAUUGCGCAAUGGGCGAAAGCCUGACGCAGCGACGCCGCGUGAGGGAUGAAGGUCUUCGGAUCGUAAACCUCUGUCAGAAGGGAAGAAGUUACGUCGUGCUAAUCAGCGGCGUAUUGACGGUACCUUCAAAGGAAGCACCGGCUAACUCCGUGCCAGCAGCCGCGGUAAUACGGAGGGUGCGAGCGUUAAUCGGAAUCACUGGGCGUAAAGCGCGCGUAGGCGGCCUUGUAAGUCAGGGGUGAAAUCCCACGGCUCAACCGUGGAACUGCCUUUGAUACUGCUUGGCUAGAAUCCAGGAGAGGGUGGCGGAAUUCCAGGUGUAGGAGUGAAAUCCGUAGAUAUCUGGAGGAACAUCAGUGGCGAAGGCGGCCACCUGGACUGGUAUUGACGCUGAGGUGCGAAAGCGUGGGGAGCAAACA